This 460-nucleotide ribosomal RNA is filed under the name uncultured bacterium. RNAcentral describes it as "partial 16S ribosomal RNA". It matches the Rfam family "Bacterial small subunit ribosomal RNA", at positions 338 to 795 of the family's 1533-position model. The record is from RNAcentral.
CCUACGGGAGGCAGCAGUGAGGAAUAUUGGUCAAUGGACGAGAGUCUGAACCAGCCAAGUAGCGUGAAGGAUGACUGCCCUAUGGGUUGUAAACUUCUUUUAUAUGGGAAUAAAAUGUUCCACGUGUGCGUUUUUGUGUGUACCAUAUGAAUAAGGAUCGGCUAACUCCGUGCCAGCAGCCGCGGUAAUACGGAGGAUCCGAGCGUUAUCCGGAUUUAUUGGGUUUAAAGGGAGCGUAGGUGGGUUGUUAAGUCAGUUGUGAAAGUUUGCGGCUCAACCGUAAAAUUGCAGUUGAUACUGGCAGUCUUGAGUACAGUAGAGGUAGGCGGAAUUCGUGGUGUAGCGGUGAAAUGCUUAGAUAUCACGAAGAACCCCGAUUGCGAAGGCAGCUUACUGGAGUCCAACUGACGCUGAGGCUCGAAAGUGUGGGUAUCGAACAGGAUUAGAUACCCUGGUAGUC